RNAcentral lists this long non-coding RNA (371 nucleotides) under Salvia miltiorrhiza (redroot sage). RNAcentral's name for it is "long non-coding RNA (SMIL_LNC014209)". The record is from RNAcentral. Lineage: Eukaryota; Viridiplantae; Streptophyta; Magnoliopsida; Lamiales; Lamiaceae.
GGAGAAAUCAAAAAUUUCAAAACGAAAACUAAUCAAACACAUCAAACAAAUCAAGCAAUUGGAGAAAUCUCAAUAACAAAUCAAUCGAAAAUUUCAAUAAACUUGGAGAAAUCUUCAGAACAGAUCUGGAUCAUCUUCUCGCUCAAGCCACCGCCGCUCGCACUCCGCCGCGCCGCGCCGUGCCGCUGCUAGGGUUUUACCCAGAGGGGUGGACGGUAGAUAGACGCAGCAAAACCAGAGGGGUGGACGGUAGAUAGACGCAGUCGGAGUAGGCUUUCUGCGCGAAUCGCGACAGAUCACCUCGAGCCUCUGUAUCGUCUUCUCGCUCAAGCCACCGUCGCUCGGACUCAGCCGCGCCCCGCCGCUGCUAG